RNAcentral lists this unclassified non-coding RNA (335 nucleotides) under soil metagenome. Its description in RNAcentral is "partial contains 5.8S ribosomal RNA, internal transcribed spacer 2, and large subunit ribosomal RNA". The stretch from base 1 to 120 matches the Rfam family "5.8S ribosomal RNA", at positions 35 to 154 of the family's 154-position model. The record is from RNAcentral.
GAUGAAGAACGCAGCGAAAUGCGAUAAGUAAUGUGAAUUGCAGAAUUCAGUGAAUCAUCGAAUCUUUGAACGUACAUUGCGCCCAUUAGCAUUCUAGUGGGCAUGCCUGUUCGAGCGUCAUUUCAACCCUUAAGCCCUGUUGCUUAGCGUUGGGAGCCUACAGUACUGUAGCUCCCCAAAGUUAGUGGCGGAGUCGGUUUCACACUCUAGACGUAGUAAUUUUUUCUCGUCUGUAGUUGAGCCGGUCCCCUGCCGUAAAACACCCAAUUUAUCAAGGUUGACCUCGGAUCAGGUAGGAAUACCCGCUGAACUUAAGCAUAUCAAUAAGCGGAGGA